Molecule: ribosomal RNA, 259 nt
Filed under: uncultured Glomus
Lineage: Eukaryota; Fungi; Glomeromycota; Glomeromycetes; Glomerales; Glomeraceae
Description: partial 18S ribosomal RNA
Rfam family: Eukaryotic small subunit ribosomal RNA
Source: RNAcentral
AAGCUCGUAGUUGAAUUUCGGGGUUAGUAGGUUGGUCAUGCCUCUGGUAGUGUACUGGUCUCACUGAUUCCUCCUUCCUGAUGAACCGUAAUGCCAUUAAUUUGGUGUUGCGGGGAAUUUGGACUGUUACUUUGAAAAAAUUAGAGUGUUUAAAGCAAGCUAACGCUUGAAUACAUUAGCAUGGAAUAAUGAAAUAGGACGUCCGAUCCUAUUUUGUUGGUUUCUAGGAUUGACGUAAUGAUUAAUAGGGAUAGUUGGG